AUACUUUAACGGGAAACUGGCAAACCUAAGGAAAAAUAGCCUGGUCUGUGUGCAAAGAAUAUUAUUUUGGUGAAGAAAAUUUGUAGUUCACUUCUUAUGGGCUUUAUUUAAUUCACAUAUUUCAAGAUAAUUUGUUGAGCAUUACUCAUAUAUUACAGGUCCAUGGGUCAGGAAUUUUAGUGAACUUUAGUGGUAUGUCAGAAUCACCAGGAGAGCUUGUUCAAACACUGAUUGCCAAGCUCCACCUCCAGAAUUUCUGUAUCAGUUUAAGGUGAAGAAUUGGCAUUUUUUACAAGUUGUCAGGUAACACUAAUGCUGCCUGCCAGGAAGCACCUUUUGAUAACCACUGUAACAAUUAAUAAAUUUAUCCUUUUCUCAGGGAUUGGAGUUGUCAAAAGAGAAUAAUAGCAAAUUUGAAAUAACUCCCAAAUGCUGUGACAACAAUUAAGAAGCAAUCUAUUACGAGAGAUUAGAGUGUGCUUUGCUGUGGUGAGCUUUCAAUCUAAAUCCUGAUUUUGUAACCAUGUGUCCUGUAGAUGUUGUGUGCUGUGGAAUUCUAGGUAAAGUAGGCAAGCAAGUUCUCUCUUACAUUGUACAGCUGGACUCUGUUCCAGUGUCUAAUUUCAAGUUCUGUAGCUUUGAAAUACUGCUGCCUGCAGCAUUGGUAACAGCAGAGUCAUUUUUCCAUCCCUUGGUCAAGUUAUGGGUUUUUACCUUGAAAUCAGUAGUUCAGAAGUAGUAGUCAUUACUUUUGCCAGCCUGCCAAUUUUGAAAGCUUUAACUUCCUGCAUUAUGUUUUCGUAAAAUACUUAAAGAGUUUCUGUUUUCUGCACUAAACUUAAUAUAGUAUGUGAGGAGGAUGGCUUCACAUAUUCUAAGUUCUUGGUAAGAAAUGGAAUAGUCUUGGUGACCCUGUGGCUUCCUAUUUUGUGAUUAGAAAGAUAGCACAGAUUAAUGUGAUUAGGAGUGUAUGGUCACCUGCAAGCAAUGGGCAGUUACGUAGCUUAUGUUUCAUAUUGUGUUCUUUAUGGCAUUUUGGAGUUACAAAUAAAAUGUUGUCUUAAAAAUGAAUAUUUUAUUGAUAUAAAAUAUCAUGGAAUGAAUGACAGGGUUUCUGAUUUUAGGCAAGAUGCUCUCUAAUAGCUGUGUAACUUUAAAUGAAAGCCAAAGCAGGGAGCAUAGUUCAAUAGCAAUGCCCAAUGCUCAGUAGAGAUGGUGGGCUGUGAAUGAGAUAGUGAUUUUUUUUUUCUUUGUUGUGGGGAUCAAACCCAAACCUUCAUGCAUACCAUGGCAAGUGCUCUACCACUAAGCCAUCAUGGGGUGGUAAGUUUUUAAUAUUCACCGAGAUGUAUCUUUGAUUUAUUUUUAGUGACAAGAUUUAUUUUGAAAUUCUAUGGAAUGCUGAAGGAUCUUUAAGAGAGUUAUAAUUAAGGAAGCAUGGCAUGGUGUGUGUAUAUAUAUUUAUUUAUUAAUGGCAGUAGCUAUGUUUCAUUUUCUUUCCCAUGCCCUCCCAAGCAACUGGUACUGCAAAAAUGAAGUAGUUCUAUGGUCAUUUAAUCACUAGAUUUUACUCGCUUUCAUUACCAUUGUUUUUUUUUAGCUUAACUUAAAUUAAUUAAUUAAUUUUUAUGUGGUGCUGAUGAUUGAACCCAGUGUCUCACACAUUCAAGGCAAAUGCUUUACCACUGAGCUACAGCCCCAGCUCCCACUAUCAUAGUUUAUACCACUUUGACAUUUUGUUAUGAGAGGAAUCAUGUAAAUAUCAGUGUGAACUCAUUAUUUUACAAUUCUUGAGUUAAAGUGCCUUUACAAUGGCUCAAAACUAGGGGAUAAGAAACCAAAUUUUAAAAUAAAGACAGGGUUUUAGAAAAGCAAUGAAAUGAUGUUACCUUAUGGUAAAAAAUUGGGCUAAGAUCUUAAUAAUAUGCCUUAAUUGACAGAAUAAUAUUGUUUCCUCAGGUCUGUUAACCAUUUCUUGAACAUCUGCUGUGGGCUAGACAAAUAAGACCAUACCUUUCAAGAGCUAAAAGCUUUGUGUGUUGUGUGUGAGGAGCACAAACUCUGGAGCCUGCUAUGUGGAUUUGAGCCAGGUUGCAUGUUUACGGGCUUUGUGUGACCUUGGACAAAUUAUUCCAGUGUGUCCUGCCUUAGUUUUUCCAUCUGUAAAAUGAUAAUAAGACCUAUCUCACUGAAUUAUUAUGAAGAUUAAAUAAGUUACUUGGUAUAAAACACAACAGUGGCACCUCAAAAACGGUAAAUAUUAGCUAUUGAUUUAAUCAUUUUUCGUGGCUGCUUUGUCAUUCUAGUCUCAAAUGUCACAUCUAGUGUGUCUUCCUAAUCACUUUUCACUCUUCUACUUACUGUUACACUUUUUGUGGGGAGAGGCCUUAUAAAACACUUUCAUUUCCUUCUAAUAUCUCCUUUGGUGUCUGAACCAUUUUGAAGGGAAACAUGUUUCUUGCCCCAAAUAAUCCAAGGACACAAAGAGACCAGGCAGAAGGUGAAACAAGUAUGCAGUAGGGAUGUGGGAACACUUCCAAAUCCUACAGAUUUGGAUAAGGAGAAGAAUAAAGAAGUUUUAAGUCACUGCAGGGAGAAGAGGAAAAGCUUUACUUUGUGAGGGCUGAAGCCUGCAAAUCUUCAGCAUCAUCCCAGUACAGGAUCCCCUGGGCUGCCUGCAACUGCUCUCUUCCUGAAUGAAGGUUACAGCCAUGUCACUGCACACUGAUGCCUGGUAAGUCAGUCAUGUUAUUAGGCUUGGGCUAGUCGGGCAUGAUUACAACCUCUUGAUCAGUCAUUAGUAAAUAUUUAGAGAAGAAAUCAAGGCACAUACCACAUUACUUUCUGGGAGCCUCGCUCUAUGUUGGACUCCCAGGGGGAGUCAGACACUGUCUUUAAACAGGUUGCAAUUGGGGUAAAAAGGCUAUGUAGAGAAGUCACUGAUGAAAGAAAACAAUGACAAGGUCAUAAGGCCUAAGAGGUGCAGAACAUAAGUGUUCUGGCAUUAAAUGUGUAUAGGGGAAAAUUCAAUAAUAAUACAGUGUUUGUACCUUAUGGGUGUGU
Molecule: long non-coding RNA, 3063 nt
Filed under: Marmota monax (woodchuck)
Lineage: Eukaryota; Metazoa; Chordata; Mammalia; Rodentia; Sciuridae
Source: RNAcentral